RNAcentral lists this transfer RNA (73 nucleotides) under Coelorinchus multispinulosus (spearnose grenadier). RNAcentral's name for it is "tRNA-Ile". It matches the Rfam family "tRNA". From Rfam's summary of the family: Transfer RNA (tRNA) molecules are approximately 80 nucleotides in length. Their secondary structure includes four short double-helical elements and three loops (D, anti-codon, and T loops). Further hydrogen bonds mediate the characteristic L-shaped molecular structure. tRNAs have two regions of fundamental functional importance: the anti-codon, which is responsible for specific mRNA codon recognition, and the 3' end, to which the tRNAs corresponding amino acid is attached (by aminoacyl-tRNA synthetases). tRNAs cope with the degeneracy of the genetic code in two manners: having more than one tRNA (with a specific anti-codon) for a particular amino acid; and 'wobble' base-pairing, i.e. permitting non-standard base-pairing at the 3rd anti-codon position. Lineage: Eukaryota; Metazoa; Chordata; Actinopteri; Gadiformes; Macrouridae. The record is from RNAcentral.
AGGAAUUGUGCCCGAAUAUUAAGGAUCACUUUGAUAGAGUGAAUUAUGGGGGUUAAAGUCCCUUCAACUCCUU